GACGAACGCUGGCGGCGUGCUUAACACAUGCAAGUCGAACGGAAAGGCCUGCUUUCCCUUGUGGGUUGCGGGUACUCGCGUGGCGAACGGGUGAGUAAAACGUGAGUGAUCUGCCCCCAACUUGGGUAUAAGCCUGGGAAACUGGGUCUAAUUCCCGAUAGGACUGCAGGGUGGUGCCUGUGGUGGAAAACGAUUUUCUAGUGGUUGGGGAUGAGCUCGCGGCCUAUCAGCUUGUUGGUGGGGUAAUGGCCUACCAAGGCGGCGACGGGUAGCCGGCCUGGGAGGGUCGACGUCCCCAUUGGGACGGCGACACGGCCCCGACUCCUACGGGCGGCAGCAGUGGGGAGUAAUGCGCGGUGGGCGGAAGCCUGAUGCAGCGACGCCGCGUGGGGGAUGACGGCCUUCGGGUUGUAAACUCCUUUCGGCCGCGAGGAAGCCACCUGGUUGGAAGGGUGGUGACGGUAGUGGUAGAAGAAGCACCGGCUAACUACGUG
This 494-nucleotide ribosomal RNA is filed under the name uncultured bacterium. Its description in RNAcentral is "partial 16S ribosomal RNA". It matches the Rfam family "Bacterial small subunit ribosomal RNA", at positions 28 to 507 of the family's 1533-position model. The record is from RNAcentral.